AUGAAACGCUGGCGGAAUGCUUUACACAUGCAAGUCGAACGGCAGCACGGGUGCUUGCACCUGGUGGCGAGUGGCGAACGGGUGAGUAAUGCGUCGGAACGUACCGAGUAAUGGGGGAUAACGCAGCGAAAGUUGUGCUAAUACCGCAUACGCCCUGAGGGGGAAAGUGGGGGAUCGCAAGACCUCACGUUAUUCGAGCGGCCGACGUCUGAUUAGCUAGUUGGUGGGGUAAAGGCCUACCAAGGCGACGAUCAGUAGCGGGUCUGAGAGGAUGAUCCGCCACACUGGGACUGAGACACGGCCCAGACUCCUACGGGAGGCAGCAGUGGGGAAUUUUGGACAAUGGGGGCAACCCUGAUCCAGCCAUUCCGCGUGAGUGAAGAAGGCCUUCGGGUUGUAAAGCUCUUUCAGCCGGAACGAAACGGUACGCUCUAACAUAGCGUGCUAAUGACGGUACCGGCAGAAGAAGCACCGGCUAACUACGUGCCAGCAGCCGCGGUAAUACGUAGGGUGCGAGCGUUAAUCGGAAUUACUGGGCGUAAAGCGUGCGCAGGCGGAUUGUUAAGCAAGACGUGAAAUCCCCGGGCUUAACCUGGGAAUGGCGUUUUGAACUGGCAGUCUAGAGUGCGUCAGAGGGGGGUGGAAUUCCACGUGUAGCAGUGAAAUGCGUAGAGAUGUGGAGGAACACCGAUGGCGAAGGCAGCCCCCUGGGAUGACACUGACGCUCAUGUACGAAAGCGUGGGUAGCAAACAGGAUUAGAUACCCUGGUAGUCCACGCCCUAAACGAUGUCAACUGGUUGUUGGGGGAGUGAAAUCCCUUAGUAACGAAGCUAACGCGUGAAGUUGACCGCCUGGGGAGU
This 861-nucleotide ribosomal RNA is filed under the name uncultured bacterium. Its description in RNAcentral is "bacterial SSU rRNA". It matches the Rfam family "Bacterial small subunit ribosomal RNA", at positions 28 to 881 of the family's 1533-position model. The record is from RNAcentral.